UACACCUUGGUUCCAUAUAGAGAGCAUGUAGGAAUGCCAGGUGAGUGAGAGGUGAAUGGAUUUAGAAAAUGCUUGUUGGGAGGUGAAAAGUUGUGGACAGCACCUGCAGCCCAACUUGGGUGGUGGUCCAGACAAGACGAGGACUGCCAACACCCGGGUGGGUGAUUCCUGAACCCUGCUGGAAUUUAAUUGAAAACAAAAAAUUGUGACAUUCCAGGCCCCGACAAAAUAAGGAAAAAAUUAGCGAAGUGUGAGUCGAAGGCUGGAUGGGUUCUACCCAAAAAAGAUCAUCGAAAAUCAUUUGCUGACUUGGUGUGUAGCACAACCUCACUCAGUGUCCUACUGACGAGGCUGGACCCAUAAUGUAAAUACGUUGGCCCACAGGAGUGAACAGUGUUCCCAGACAAAGUACAAACUAUACAAACAAAUAAUGGUACAAAAGCAACUGUUAGUUGAAAUA
Cimex lectularius (bed bug) is the source of this 460-nucleotide long non-coding RNA. RefSeq lists it as uncharacterized. NCBI's taxonomy places the organism in Eukaryota, Metazoa, Arthropoda, Insecta, Hemiptera, Cimicidae. The record is from RefSeq and is a predicted model, not a curated record. The transcript has 3 exons.